UCUCCUACGGGGGGCAGCAGUGAGGAAUAUUGGUCAAUGGGCGCGAGCCUGAACCAGCCAAGUCGCGUGAGGGAUGACGGUCCUCCGGAUUGUAAACCUCUUUUGCCGGGGAGCAAGCGUGCGUUCGUGAACGCGCGUCGAGAGUACCCGGAGAAAAAGCAUCGGCUAACUCCGUGCCAGCAGCCGCGGUAAUACGGAGGAUGCGAGCGUUAUCCGGAUUUAUUGGGUUUAAAGGGUGCGUAGGCGGUCCGUUAAGUCAGCGGUAAAAUUGCGGGGCUCAACCCCGUCGAGCCGUUGAAACUGGC
Molecule: ribosomal RNA, 305 nt
Filed under: uncultured bacterium
Lineage: Bacteria
Description: bacterial SSU rRNA
Rfam family: Bacterial small subunit ribosomal RNA
Source: RNAcentral